Molecule: ribosomal RNA, 513 nt
Filed under: uncultured bacterium
Lineage: Bacteria
Description: partial 16S ribosomal RNA
Rfam family: Bacterial small subunit ribosomal RNA
Source: RNAcentral
AACGAACGCCGGCGGCGUGCCUAACACAUGCAAGUCGAGCGCGAAAAGGGCAACCUGAGUAGAGCGGCGCACGGGUGCGUAACACGUGGGUAAUCUGCCUUAGAGUCGAGGAUAACCUUCCGAAAGGUUGGCUCAUACUCGGUAAGCUUACGGUGUCUUCGGACGCUGUGGGAAAAGUAGGCCUCUGGUUCCAAGCUUCCGCGCUGAGAUGAUCCCGCGGACCAUCAGCUAGUCGGCGGUGUAACGGACCCCCAAGGCAACGACGGGUAGCUGGUCUGAGAGGACGAUCAGCCACACUGGAACUGAGACACGGUCCAGACUCCUACGGGAGGCAGCAGUGGGGAAUUUUCCACAAUGGGCGAAAGCCUGAUGGAGCAACGCCGCGUGUGUGAUGAAGGUUUUCGGAUCGUAAAGCACUUUCGACCGGGACGAAAAACCUCUGGCUAACAUCCAGGGGCCUGACGGUACCGGGAGAAGCAGCACCGGCUAACUCUGUGCCAGCCGCCGCAGUAA